GGCUAACCACUGAAGCUUGAAUAUUGCAUAUACUUGGGAUAAAAGGCCACUUGAAGCUGUUUACAUCAAACAGCAGUCACCUUCAACUUAAUCUGCCAAGAAUUAAGAUGAUUCCACCCCAAAAGCACAAAAGAUCUAUUUCUGUGAACCUCCUGGACAUCUCUCUUCUGUGACAUUAGGUGAGAUCCAUCUAUACACCUUCAAAUCAAUGAGUACCCAAGGUUCUUUUGCUUGAGUUUGUUCAUUUUAUGAUUUAAUUUUAGGAGCUGUUUCCUCCUCCUCCUUACGAUGUCCUACAAAACCAAACUUUGCUUGGAGAAUUUGUCUUAAAUAUAUUUCUUCAUGGUCAUUUAGGAGACUAUUAUUCCUGAACUGAGACCAUAGCUUACCUGAAGUUAUAAUCUUUUUUCUUCCUCAGAAUGAAAAUUAAAGGUAGUGAUGGUACUUACUUUAUUGAGAAAUUAUAAGUUGUAUUGUUACUAAUGUACUUCUGUCUUAGGAAUCUACCCCUCCUGCACAAAGCAAAUCCUUUACUAUUUGCUUGGUCUAAAAUUCAGUUCUACCUGAAGGUAAUUCCUUUAACCAAAUAUCUAUGGCCCUCCACUGUGCUGCCUUCUGACAGUGCUUUAAGUUUCAAAUCCUCCUUCCCCUUUUUUUUCUAGCCAUAAACAGAGUAGUGACUUUCUCUAGUGUUUUUAGCUGUUGAAGGUAUCCAUAAAGAGAUUCAAUGUUGGCAGAUGAGGUAGCUGUCUAAAUCUACUUCAUAGCCACGGAUGAUCUGUUACAUCUCUAGUUAGUCCUCGGGAUUCUCUUACACUGCCUCUUCCACUGUUUUUACUAUUAUUUCCUAGAUAUUUCAGCAGUCAGUUUAUACUCUCUAAAGCAUGAGAUAUAUGUCUUCAUCACAGAUCUACAUCUUUAACCAUUUUUGUUGAUGUGUGGCAGCAUUUUCUAUAUAAAGGGGGAAACAUGAAAGAGAACAGAAAGUACCUGUUGAAGUGGAAAUUUCUGGUUUCUUUGGAGACUCAGUUGUGUCAUGUGAUGUUUUUCUGGAAUCUGUCUUAUGAGAAGAUGUAUUGGUUGAGAACAGACAUCUGGUUUUUUUCUGGAAGCAUCCUGGAAAAAGGCCAUGUGAUGUUUUACAAAAGAGAGGACACUUGAAAGAACUUGUGAUGUUUGAAGGGGUAGAAAUAUAACCCAACAGACAGUAUGCAGUGCUGUGUGUGGUAUUGGUACGCCUUGCCACUUUUUGCUGGUCAUUGUCGUGACUUUAGAGAGAGACACCCAGCAACAAACUUCUGGUGGUGUUCCAGCGGCUUCUUGCUACUUCUACUCACUUAAGCCGAUUCGCAGAGCCUUGAGAUUUCUUCUGGGUUGAAUUGGCUGUUGCAAUUUCAUGAAGGGUGUUUGCAAGUGCAUUGAGCUACCGCUACAGAUUUGUGGGAACUGAAUUGCUGCUAUCCCAACAAUGCAGAUCGGAUUUGCUCCAAAGAACUACUUCUAAACGGGUACACAUCCUGCUCACAUUAACCUUUCCUUUCCACUACCUGUGGUGAGUGGUAGGCAACAAGGGAGGUUAAAGCAUAACCUAGGGCCACCUACCUUUUGAGGGUAUCACCCGAAGUGGGAUGGAGCUUCCCCAUCAACCACUAAUUUAAAAAAGGGAGCAAAUGUACACAUGAGUGCAGGAGCCUGUGGAUGCCAGAUGAUGCUGUCACAGUACCUGGAGCUGGAGACAAUACCAGUGGUUGUGAGUGACCAGGUGUGGGUGCUGAGAACCAAACUCUGGUCCUCGGAGAACCGCAAGAGCUCUCAACCUCUGAGGCACCUCUACAACCUCAGAAUUGUCUUCAUGUAAGAUGUUGCCUAAAACUGUUAGAUAUGGGUGUCUCUACGUGGCCUGAUUAGAGAAGACUUGUCUGUCACAAGGCACUGUAUUGACCAAAAUAUUUUACAUGUUUCUAAGGAAGACCUUCUGGUAAAUCUGAAGUGUAUGUGGAACUUUGAGGAUACCCUAUGAUGGUGUAAUAUACCUCAGUAGUGAAAAGGGGCUGUGGCAGACAACAACAAAUUAAUAAUAUAAACUUUCACCAAGCUGACACAAUGUGUUCUGAUCAAGAGAGCAUGGGAUCAAUCACAGUAGUUUUGUCUUUGAAGUUUUGAUAGUAUACAGGUAGUUUGGAAGGUUCCCUGAUGAUGGAAGUAACUGAUUUUUACUUUUGGUAAAGAAGAUAUGUCCUGCAUGCACAUCUCACAUGGAAUUUCUAAGAAUCUGACAGUUAUGAGAUCAUAUUAAACCUAAUAGUACUCAUGAUUGGAAUCUUGCUACCAAGGAAUUUUAAGAAAGCUGCUCCAACACAGACUGAUGAAUCUUUACAUUUGUAGUUGUCUAAUCAAGAAAGGAUGGAUUCUCCUGCAAAUACUGUUAACUUUUAACUAAUCCAAACAUUCAAAUAGAAUGGAAGCGUCCUGUAGCCAUGAUCAUGGUCAAGAGAAUGGACAGGUAUGUUAGUAGAACAAGUUAUACCCUAGAACAAAUUUUUCAAUAUAUGAUUUUUUUUCAUUUCCCAUUCAAGAGAACACAGCAAUACAAGGAAGAUGCUGAAGGUAAGGUAAGUGAGAAAGUCAGCCUUGCCCAGUAUAGACUAUCUCAAGUGCAAUAUUUAUAGAAAUGACAUGGAUGCAUUUAGUAAAUGUUCCUCAGUAUGUCUUUCAGAGGUAGGCCAACCCAUCUCAGUAGGCUACAAAAGGCAUUCAAAUAGAACAUUGCUUAUAUAUAGGUAAGUACUCAUGUGGGAAAACUUAUCUCCAUACAGAUAAAUGAGUGAUAAUGGUGUCCCUAACAUUUCUCCUCAGUAUAGUUUUGUUAAAAAAAAAAGACAAAAAACAAAAACUAUUGACAAUCUUAGCAGUUCUAGUAGCUAUGAAUUUAUAAUUUUAACUGAGAAUAGUGAAUUUGAUUUGAUACUCAUCGCCUGUUACUACUAUAACACUGCUAGCCCAGUAUCAGUCAGUAGAUAUUCUGUUGGUGUCCAGUUGAAACAAAUGCUCACUCUGGAUGAUGCUCUUGGCGUAGAGUUACUCCAAGAAUUGAGGUAGAUUUGAAUUCGUCCUUAACAAUGUUUGUAGACAAAUACCCUGCUGUCCCAGUUAUAUUCUAAAACAUAGUUUUACAUGUUAUUUUUCUCUUUCAACAUAACAGACUAAUGCAGAAAGGAUUGUUGAUAGAAUCCUGAUAAUAAGCAAAUAUUAUCAGGUAAGUGAUGGAGGAACUAUAGCACAUUGUACAUCCUCACUCCUUCAGCAUCCUGCUAGAUCAGAAUGUGUCACUAAUCUGAUGUUGCCAUAUUUUUUAUAGGUAUCCUAUUUGGCCUUUACUAGUGAACAGGUAUAAGACAGUAUCAUAUUCAUUCAUUGACACUCUUAUUUUAAGAUGUGCCAUGGAUUAAUAUUUUGGAAAACUUUUUAUUUCCCCCCUUUCUAUGUGGUUCAAAUAAUAUCUCCAUUAAUCUUUCUAAUUGAGUAUCAGUUUUAUAACUUUAAGAACAGAUUGUGUAAAUUUAGUGCUUGUAAUGGUACUGGCUUAAGCAGUUGCACAAAUAAUUUUCUAAUGCCAGUAACUAUAAUUUUUACAGUAGAAUUCUAGGUAGAACUCUUUUGAGAUAUUAAGAAUUCUAUUUCAAGGUUUUGCUAUAGUGGGUCAGCAAGAUAUUCUGAUAGUAUGAAUGGAUCUUGAAACGAUGCAGUUUCCUUCAGAACUUUCAAGUAUAUAGGUAGAGUUAAGCUUGCACAACACAGAUCUACAAAAUGUUUGGCAGAGACAGGUCAAGACAUCAGAGUGAGACAAUGAAUGCCAAGUAGAAGGUAGAUAAGAUCCAGGUAAGUACUCUGCAUAUAUGUAGAAAGUAGGUGUUGUAUUGUUCCUUUCUUGGUGCCAUCCAUGCCUUUUUUUCCCCCAGCUGUUCAUUUGAGAAAUGAUGAAGCUCUCAGCAGUUGCAAUGACUGUGGCAGCAAACUUUUUCAUAUGGUAGAAAAAAAUUCAUACUGAACUUGUUAGGGGAUUGGUUAUAUACUGGCUUGCUGUUGUAGAACUCCAAGCCUCAUAGCUUUCUCAUGAAUAUUGUAAAGCUUGGAUUUAUCCAUUUUUUAUGUAGAAGUUAGAGUGUCUCUUAAUGUUUACUGGCAAAGAAGUGAACAUGUGUCCUGUAGGGCUCUAAUUUGAAACAUAUUUUCACGGGUUUUGUCUUUCAUAUUCUCUUUAAAUGCAUUCAAAGGUAACUGAAAAUAUCGUUGGGUAAGAUUACUGAGAGCCAGGGAAGUAAUUCAGGGAUCAUAUCACAGAGUGGACCUCCUGAACUUCAUUCUCCAGGAACAAUGAACUUAUGUGUAAUCCCAUAUUGCCUGGUUUUGGUAGGUGUCCUGGAGAGUUUCAACUAUUAUACAGCAAAUGAAGAGCAUUAUAGAGAACCCCAACUGGAAACAGUAUAGAGAUCAACAAAUUGCAGAGAGCUCAACCCCAAUAGAUGCAUCUACAUCACAGAUCCUGCAUCAGAAGACGUCAUGGAAGAGGCACAUAGAGAGAUUUAAGAGUCAGCAUACCAGGAAUUCUGCUAUAAAACAGUGCCUCCUAGUAAUGGCUACAUAAACAAAACCAGAACAAUGGCAAUAUCAAUGGACAUGCUAAUGUAUUCCCUUCAAGAAAACAUCACUAUCCAAAAAAAAAAAAUAUUACCAUGAGGUCUUUACUAAUGGCCUGGUUCCAUUCAAGGGAAUACAGCAUUUCAUGAAAGACUAUUGGGGGAACCUUGCUAAGAGCUAGCCCCUGCUGGCUUCAAGCUUGCUAUACAGCUGAGGAUUACCUUGAACUUCUGAUCUUCCUGAUUUCCCUCCUGAGUGCUGGGAUUAUAGGUAUGUAGCACCAGGCACAAUUCAUCACAACACUGUUGACCAUGUCAUACUUGUAAGUAUCCCCUUACAGGACUAAGUGCCCCAUACCAAGCCAUUGUCCUGUGAGAAUGUCAAGGCUCAGAUAAGAUAGAUACAUCCUAAACUCACACAAUGAUCUACUGAAUUUCUAUGUGUAUACAUAGAAUGAGACAUGUACCAAAUAGGUGUUUAACUGUGUUUUGUUUUUCAGAGCUAGCACAAAGCAUCAGGGUGAGGGAGUGUCAUUAAGUGGGGCUAAGCCAUAGCAUAAAAUACAUCUUUGUUAAUAUAUGUAAGUAAUGAUGGCCCUAACCUUUCACCAUGUUUUGAUUUUGCCAAAGACUAGUUAAAACUAAUGUGAUUCUAGCAAUAUUACUGAAAAUGAGAUAGAAUAACCUACAUAUUAGUCAAGAAGGAGUAGGGUCUCUGUCACUGUUUUAAUGUUUAAUCGUUCCAUGUAUUCAGGUGGAGUUUGUGUGUCUCUUUUCAGUGUUCAUUGACAAAAGUGGACAGGAAUCCAGGUAAAAUAACUUGUAUCUGAAGCAUAUUUUUUCCUUUGGUCCCUUUUAAGGGAAAAUACCCAGAAAGGGUGAUAGAAUCUUGCUAGAAAGGAGGAAAAUGAGAAAAUAACCAUAGAGCAGCAAAGAUUGUUCAAUCUUCAAUACUCCAGUACAUGUAUAGGGUGUGCUAAUCAGUGCUACUAGCUCUGUAAAAGUUAAGUUUAUUUUGUAGAACUCAUGGAAGCUAAAAGAAUGUGUGUGUCCUGUUUCAUUGUUCUGGACAUGUCAUCCUGAAUGUAAGCAUGAAAUGUUGUUGUUGUUGUUGUUGUUUUAAAAACCUGGUGGUUAAAAAAUGAAAUGUUGCUACUAUUACUAAGAACUUUCAGAUUUCAUUGACUUCUUACUGACCAAUAGCAUAAAUUUAAUGUUUAUCCUGCUAGCGACAUACUCAAGGUUUCAGAGGAUUUUCCUCCUACCCUUCAAUGUGAAUUUAACUGCGAUUUUCUGAGCCAUCCUCUGAAAUAAGCAACAAUUAUCUGCAAGGCUUUGUCUACACAUAUCCAGGUAGCAUACGGUUCUGAACUAAUAAAAUGACUCAGAGAUCAUGCCGUGCUUCUAGCAAAAUGAAACAUCUGCCAAGUUAGUAUUCCACGUUGUGUGUUUUAGAGACAACUCUGAUCCUCGUGGUAAGCCAGAAAAUGCCAUGAAACAAAGCACUGCUCAUAUUCAGGGAAGUACUCAUGAGUCUGAAAUCAUAUUAAGCAAUAUGUGGUCUACGUGUGGUAGUGGGGAGGUGGUGGUAGUGUAUAGUAUUUUUGUUGUCACCAUGCUUUUUUUACAUGAUGUUUGCUUUCACAUUCCCUUCAAGAGGGUAUAGUGACCCUGAAAAGUGUUGAGGGAAGCUUGCUAAUUUUUAAGUAAAUGAUGGUGUAUAUACCACAGCACAAACCAUGUGAUCUUAGAUAUCUAAGGUAAGUGUUGCAGUACCUAGGUAUAUGAGAACUAGUGCCAAGAGUGGUGGCAUCACACUUCUUUUGGUGUAUUUCUGGAAUGAUUUUAGGUAGUGCAUAGUUGAGUGGACAUUAAGACCUUACUUUUAGAUGUGUAUGUUAGAAGUGUUUCUGGUAAGCUUACAUUCCCCAUUUUUUAAACAUUCAUUAUUAAAUAUUAAAUAUAACAAAUAUUUUCUAACAACCCUACUAACAUAUCCUUGAACACUUGUCAUCUACAAAUGUCUUCUAUACAUAUAAUGGCAGAAACAGACUCAUAGCUUCAGGUUAUGUUCAUAGAUGUCAUCACAGAGAGAUGCAGUAUGUUCUUUUUGCAGAUAUUCUUUCAAGGAAGAAAGAGAUCUCUUAUGAGAAGAUCUUCAUGCUCUGAAUUCUGCAAGUUUCUACAGAUCUGAAAAUGAUGCAGAGACUUUGGGAAUGACUGUGGUAUUUUCAUGAUGUUUAUUUGUAACACAGGUCGGAAGACCACAGUGGCACAGGGUUGUAGAAAGGAGCAUGUCCAGUAUCCAGGUCAGGGCUGCCGUGGGCUUUCAUCACAUAGGGCAGUGGUUCUUAACCUUUCUUAUGCUGCAACCCUUUAACACAGUUGCUCAUGUUGUGCUGACCCCCCAACCAU
This is a long non-coding RNA of Mus musculus (house mouse), 7052 nucleotides long. RefSeq annotates it as predicted gene, 30354. The record is from RefSeq and is a predicted model, not a curated record. NCBI's taxonomy places the organism in Eukaryota, Metazoa, Chordata, Mammalia, Rodentia, Muridae. The transcript has 11 exons.